Long non-coding RNA from Gavialis gangeticus (Gharial), 178 nucleotides. RefSeq lists it as uncharacterized. The transcript is spliced from 2 exons. Lineage: Eukaryota; Metazoa; Chordata; Crocodylia; Gavialidae. The record is from RefSeq and is a predicted model, not a curated record.
UCCUCCUUCUCGGGCACCAGACCCCACCCCGCGCCUGAGGGGACUGCGGCUGACAGUGCGGUGGGGGCUGGACUGCUGUUUAAGGCUCCGCCUGCUUUCCGUGAUGUCAUAAAUUCGAGUCAUGUUACAAAUGAGAAGGUUACGGACUUUGCUGCAUCAAGUUACACGCAACUUGGAG